AGCGGAGGCGGGUUUCUGGCUGACUGUCCCAAGCACUUAGUGCCAUCUCUCCGCCUAUUCCCCCUCCCAUAUACACACACAACACUAUUCCCUCACUCAGCACCCUGCCGCCAGCCCGCCCGCCCGCCCUCCUGACUGAAGGUUUCCUGUCCCUUCGCACGGCUGGGACUCGACUAGGACGUCUAGGCCAGUACAGACAGAAAGUCCGAGUCAGCCGCCGCUCUCGCCGGGUCCUUGGGCAAGGCCUAGGGGGAGGACGGGGCGCGGCCGGCUCUGGGGAUCAGCGGGGGCUGGGGCGCUGGGCGGUACUGAACAAACAUUGGCUUAGUUCUGCCCUGGGACUUUGGACGGCGGGCGGGGCCGCGCGAGCUUCUCCCCUUGGGCAGAGCUGGGACCCACCCGCCCUCUACCCGUAGCUGCCAGACGUGGCUCCACCCUCGCAGAACGUUGAAAAGUCAGCGGGCCGCGGGGCCGGACAAGGGGGCGGGGCGGGGGCGGGGCGUGCUCGAGCCAAUGGGCUUGGCCGGGGCCGGUGACGCCACGGCCAAUGGCCCGGCAGCGCGGGAGUUUCAAGUCGCUGUCUCCGCCCCGCCGUGGGGAAGACUGCGCCUAUAAAGACGGCCGGCUGUGGCCCGGGUCAGGUCCCCGAGUGCUCCUCGUCUGGUGUCUUCCUCCUCCGCCAUGGCCCGUACGAAGCAGACCGCCCGCAAGUCCACCGGCGGCAAGGCCCCGCGCAAGCAGCUGGCCACCAAGGCCGCCCGCAAGAGCGCCCCGGCCACGGGCGGCGUGAAGAAGCCUCACCGCUACCGGCCCGGCACCGUGGCGCUGCGCGAGAUCCGGCGCUACCAGAAGUCGACCGAGCUGCUGAUCCGCAAGCUGCCGUUCCAGCGCCUGGUGCGCGAGAUCGCGCAGGACUUCAAGACGGACCUGCGCUUCCAGAGCUCGGCCGUCAUGGCGCUGCAGGAGGCGAGCGAGGCCUACCUGGUGGGGCUCUUCGAGGACACCAACCUGUGCGCCAUCCACGCCAAGCGCGUCACCAUCAUGCCCAAGGACAUCCAGCUGGCCCGCCGCAUCCGUGGGGAGCGCGCUUGAGCGCUCUCUGUCCCUUCCAUCCCCCCACAAAGGCUCUUUUCAGAGCCACCACAGGUCUCCCGGAAAGGGCUGUUUACAUUUGCUAACGCUUCGUUGCGCCUCGGGCUACCUAGAUAACUAGGUGGCUGUUGUAUAGUAUAGCCUUGUUGCAUAGCUACAUAGUGGUUCUUUUAAAGGAAGUUUUGCACACCCUUUUUAGAGUAGGUUUAAUAUUAGUUGACGUCUUGUUCAUUCAUAUUUCUCUAGCUUUAUUUACAUGCAGCACCUCCGUCCUAAAGGGAGUAAGCUUAUAGGAGCUUAUCUCAUGGUGGUUACUAUGUAACCUCUUUAGCCCAGCUGGACCAGAGCCGGCCUUUCUAAAUAGCUGAACACUCAGGAGACGUAUCUUGCAGCUCAUAAUUACCUCACUAAACUUUGGCUGAAGGUUAUUGUUGCUCCUCGUUCUGCUAGGCAAUGUCUGGGGGCUUAACUGCUCAUAGUCGGUGGUAAGCGGAGUACUCUUGAGUGAUAUCCGGUGACACUCGUCUUUGUUCUUUGUCACUUGAAGACCUACUAGCUACUUGGAAUUCAGCAUUUAUUACUACGAUCUCGUUCUAUGGCAACUUGUUAGUUUCUCUUACUCCCAUUAAAUUUACUUCAAAAUGCCAACCCAACUGUGCCUCCCACCCAAAAAUGACAGACACCUUUCUGGACAGAAAUACACUAGAUAUCAAAGA
This is a non-coding RNA of Arvicanthis niloticus (Nile rat), 1808 nucleotides long. Lineage: Eukaryota; Metazoa; Chordata; Mammalia; Rodentia; Muridae. The record is from RefSeq and is a predicted model, not a curated record.